RNAcentral lists this ribosomal RNA (870 nucleotides) under uncultured bacterium. Its description in RNAcentral is "bacterial SSU rRNA". It matches the Rfam family "Bacterial small subunit ribosomal RNA", at positions 26 to 898 of the family's 1533-position model. The record is from RNAcentral.
AGAACGAACGUUGGCGGCGUGGAUUAGGCAUGCAAGUCGAACGAAUCCCGACGCUGUAGCAAUACAGUGAAGGUGGAAGUGGCGAAAGGGGCAGUAAGGCGUGGGUAACCUACCUCGGGGACGAGGAUAGCCAUCCUAACGGAUGGGUAAUACUUGGCGAUCUGGCGAUGAGGCAUCUUGUUGCCAGGAAAUGAAUUUCGCCUCGAGAGGGGCUCACGUAGUAUUAGCUUGUUGGUGAGGUAACGGCUCACCAAGGCGAAGAUGCUUAGCGGGUGUGAGAGCACGACCCGCGCCACUGGCACUGAGACACUGGCCAGACUCCUACGGGAGGCUGCAGUCGAGGAUCUUCGGCAAUGGGCGCAAGCCUGACCGAGCGACGCCGCGUGUGCGAUGAAGGCCUUCGGGUUGUAAAGCACUGUCGAGGGGGAGAAAGCCGCAAGGUUGAUCUAUCCCUGGAGGAAGCACGGGCUAAGUUCGUGCCAGCAGCCGCGGUAAGACGAACCGUGCGAACGUUGUUCGGAUUCACUGGGCUUAAAGGGCGCGUAGGCGGGUGGUCAAGUCAGGGGUGAAAUCUUUCGGCUCAACCGGAAAAGUGCCUUUGAUACUGGCCAUCUCGAGGGAGGUAGGGGCAUGUGGAACUUCCGGUGGAGCGGUGAAAUGCGUAGAUAUCGGAAGGAACGCCGGUGGCGAAAGCGACGUGCUGGACCUUUUCUGACGCUGAGGCGCGAAAGCCAGGGGAGCAAACGGGAUUAGAUACCCCGGUAGUCCUGGCCCUAAACGAUGGGUACUGGAUUGUGGACUUAACAUGGGUUCACAGUCGCAGCAAAAGUGUUAAGUACCCCGCCUGGGGAGUAUGGUCGCAAGGCUGAA